AUGCGGCAACCACCGGGUUAUGAAAGUCAUAGCACACCACAUUAUGUAUGUAAGUUGGAUAAAGCAUUAUAUGGACUUAAGCAGGCUCCAAGAGCAUGGUAUUCUAGGCUGAGCAUGCAAUUACAACAUCUUGGGUUCACGCCAUCCAAAGCAGAUACAUCCUUGUUCUUUUAUAGCAAAGGCAAUAUCACUGUUUUUGUGCUUGUUUAUGUUGAUGAUAUAAUUGUUGCUAGUUCAAGUCAAGAGGCCACCACUUGUUUGCUUAAGGAUUUAAAACUUGAAUUUGCUCUCAAGGAUCUAGGUGAUCUUCACUAUUUUCUUGGCAUAGAAGUAAAGCAAGUCAGAGAUGGCAUACUUCUCUCACAAGAAAAAUAUACAGCUGAUGUUCUAAAGAGGGUGGGAUUGGAGAAUUGCAAACCUGUCAGCACACCAAUUUCCACCUCAGAAAAACUUACAGUUGAUAGUGGAGAAGCUCUUGGUCCAGAAGAUGCAACAAAUUAUAGAAGUGUUAUUGGUGCUUUGCAAUAUUUAACACUUACACGUCCAGAUAUUUCUUAUUCAGUGAACAAGGUAUGUCAAUAUUUGCAUGCUCCUGGAACUACUCAUUGGACGGCAGUUAAAAGAAUCCUAAGGUAUCUUCAGUAUUCUCAAGGGCUUGGACUUUAA
This 666-nucleotide ribosomal RNA is filed under the name Triticum aestivum (bread wheat). Its description in RNAcentral is "partial small subunit ribosomal RNA". Lineage: Eukaryota; Viridiplantae; Streptophyta; Magnoliopsida; Poales; Poaceae. The record is from RNAcentral.